This is a non-coding RNA of Candidatus Muproteobacteria bacterium, 432 nucleotides long. The record is from Rfam. Lineage: Bacteria; Pseudomonadati; Pseudomonadota; Candidatus Muproteobacteria.
UGAGUCGGCCAGACAGCCGCCCCGCAUCUAUCUUUCUGAGUCGUUGUCUCGGACCGUGGCGCCGUCUCCUCGAAGAGACAUCGCUCUGGUUUCACGGACGGCUCAGGGAGAUAGGUGCGGGGAGGAAAGUCCGGGCUCCAUUGGGCAGGGUGCCAGGUAACGCCUGGAGGACGCGAGUCCAUGGAAAGUGCCACAGAAAAUAUACCGCCUAAGUCCGCAAGGACCGGUAAGGGUGAAAUGGUGCGGUAAGAGCGCACCGCGCGGUUGGCAACAGCCGCGGCACGGCAAACCCCACCUGGAGCAAGGCCGAAUAGGGGAACAUUGGCGUGUGCCCGCGUCGUUCCCGGGUAGGCUGCUUGAGGCGCGCGGCGACGCGCGUCCCAGAUGAAUGGCUGUCCACGACAGAACCCGGCUUACCGGCCGACUCGUUUU